CCUACGGGAGGCAGCAGUGAGGAAUAUUGGUCAAUGGGCGUAAGCCUGAACCAGCCAAGUCGCGUGAGGGAUGAAGGUUCUAUGGAUCGUAAACCUCUUUUAUAAGGGAAUAAAGUGUGGGACGUGUCCUAUUUUGUAUGUACCUUAUGAAUAAGGAUCGGCUAACUCCGUGCCAGCAGCCGCGGUAAUACGGAGGAUCCGAGCGUUAUCCGGAUUUAUUGGGUUUAAAGGGUGCGUAGGCGGCUUUUUAAGUCAGCGGUGAAAGUUUGUGGCUCAAACAUGGAAUGGCCGUUGAAACUGGGGGGCUUGAGUAUGUUUGAGGCAGGCGGAAUGCGUGGUGUAGCGGUGAAAUGCUUAGAUAUCACGCAGAACCCCGAUUGCGAAGGCAGCCUGCCAAGCCAUGACUGACGCUGAUGCACGAAAGCGUGGGGAUCAAACAGGAUUAGAUACCCUUGUAGUC
This 460-nucleotide ribosomal RNA is filed under the name uncultured bacterium. RNAcentral describes it as "partial 16S ribosomal RNA". It matches the Rfam family "Bacterial small subunit ribosomal RNA", at positions 338 to 795 of the family's 1533-position model. The record is from RNAcentral.